GGCCCACUUCAUCGGCAUUUCACGUAGGAGCAUCCCCUCCUCUCUCCAUUCCACACCAAAUUUCUCACAAAUCCAAGGAGCCUCUCCAUCUAGUGGGAUUUCUUCUCCAUUAGAGCCAGGGGGAGAUCAAGGCCCCAAGGAUCUUUUGUUGCUCCUCUUUCCCCUUCAAUCCAAGAUUGCUUCGGGAGAUGAUGGAGAGCACCGCACCAAGAUGUGGACAGAGCACCGUGGAUGGAUGAAGCAGCCUGCCCGUCAUGGUGGGAGAAGCAACAGUGGGCAGUGGCAAAGCUCCGAGAGCAGGCUCAGCAAGAGAUGUGAAUUGAGAUGUAUGGGCGAUUGAUCCAGGAGGAUGCUUGUCCUGGCACUCCAGCGAGUAUCAAUGAGUAUGACUCCUCUUAUAUGGUUCAUUAUAGUGAGGAAGUCCAAGAAAGAAGGCCACAUGACACCCAGGACAGACAUAGGGUGAUCUAUCAGAAUCAGUUCUGUACUGUCAGAUAAGCUCGUAUGAGGAUGCCUUAUGUUGUGCCCAGGGAAAGAAGCAUUGAUUAUCGCUUCUGGAAUGGAUUUCACUCAUAUUUCUAUCUCUCUGUGCCCUACAAUGCAAAGCAUGACAUAGUGCUUUGAGUGAAGUAUGUUGAUUGGGAGCACAUUGAUAGCAAGUCAGAUAAAGUAUUGAAGAACAUUGUGAAUGCCUGCAAGAGAUUUGGCCUCUAUGACAUCAUGGGAUUCCAGCACAAUUGGAACAUUGAGAUUAUGUAUCAGUUCUCAGCUACCUACUACUGUGAGACAUCCUGUGAUGUGAUGCAUUGAAUGACUGAAGGAAGGCACUAUAGGCUGGACUAUGUCACCUUUGCUCGUCUGUUGGGUUUUGGCUCUGAUGAUAGGAGCUUCAGUGAGAUUCAUGAUGAGAGAAACCUGACAGACCAUGAAAUUGCUCUUAUGUAUGCGGACCCCUCUACUGCUGAUGGUCUGUCGAGAGGGCUCAAGUCAUUCUUUUAUGGGGUGUUUGGUUUAAGGAAUGAGAUAGUCCAUCAUCUUCUCACUUCUCAUUUUUUUGUCUGGUUUGUGGAAUGGAGUGAGUUAAUCUAUCACCACCUCAUUCCUCAUAGUUAGUUGUUUAGUACUAAUAUGUGGAAUGAAGUCAUCC
This 1147-nucleotide unclassified non-coding RNA is filed under the name Zea mays. RNAcentral describes it as "misc RNA Zm00001eb013570". The record is from RNAcentral. Lineage: Eukaryota; Viridiplantae; Streptophyta; Magnoliopsida; Poales; Poaceae.